RNAcentral lists this ribosomal RNA (254 nucleotides) under uncultured bacterium. RNAcentral describes it as "partial 16S ribosomal RNA". It matches the Rfam family "Bacterial small subunit ribosomal RNA", at positions 524 to 776 of the family's 1533-position model. The record is from RNAcentral.
UACGUAGGGUGCGAGCGUUGUCCGGAAUUAUUGGGCGUAAAGAGCUCGUAGGCGGUGUGUCACGUCGGCCGUGAAAACCUGCAGCUUAACUGUGGGCGUGCGGUCGAUACGGGCAUCACUGGAGUUCGGCAGGGGAGACUGGAAUUCCUGGUGUAGCGGUGAAAUGCGUAGAUAUCUGGAGGAAUACCGGUGGCGAAGGCGGCAUCCUGGACCAUAACUGACGCUGAGGCGCGAAAGCUAGGGGAGCAAACGGG